RNAcentral lists this ribosomal RNA (211 nucleotides) under uncultured bacterium. RNAcentral's name for it is "partial 16S ribosomal RNA". It matches the Rfam family "Bacterial small subunit ribosomal RNA", at positions 1291 to 1500 of the family's 1533-position model. The record is from RNAcentral.
GUUCGGACUGCAGGCUGCAACUCGCCUGCACGAAGUUGGAAUUGCUAGUAAUCGUGGAUCAGCAUGCCACGGUGAAUACGUUCCCGGGUCUUGUACACACCGCCCGUCACACCAUGGGAGCCGGUAAUACCCGAAGUCAGUAGUCUAACCGCAAGGAGGACGCUGCCGAAGGUAGGAUUCGGCGACUGGGGUGAAGUCGUAACAAGGUACC